RNAcentral lists this ribosomal RNA (496 nucleotides) under uncultured bacterium. RNAcentral's name for it is "partial 16S ribosomal RNA". It matches the Rfam family "Bacterial small subunit ribosomal RNA", at positions 28 to 507 of the family's 1533-position model. The record is from RNAcentral.
GACGAACGCUGGCGGCGUGCCUAAUACAUGCCAGUCGAGCGAACCAAUGGGAGCUUGCUCCCUGAGGUUAGCGGCGGACGGGUGAGUAACACGUGGGUAACCUGCCUGUAAGAUUGGGAUAACUCCGGGAAACCGGAGCUAAUACCGGAUAAUAUUUUGAACCGCAUGGUUCAAAAUUGAAAGACGGCUUCGGCUGUCACUUACAGAUGGACCCGCGGCGCAUUAGCUAGUUGGUGAGGUAACGGCUCACCAAGGCGACGAUGCGUAGCCGACCUGAGAGGGGGAUCGGCCACACUGGGACUGAGACACGGCCCAGACUCCUACGGGAGGCAGCAGUAGGGAAUCUUCCGCAAUGGACGAAAGUCUGACGGAGCAACGCCGCGUGAACGAUGAAGGCCUUCGGGUCGUAAAGUUCUGUUGUUAGGGAAGAACAAGUACCAGAGUAACUGCUGGUACCUUGACGGUACCUAACCAGAAAGCCACGGCUAACUACGUG